Non-coding RNA from Triticum aestivum (bread wheat), 115 nucleotides. The record is from Rfam. Lineage: Eukaryota; Viridiplantae; Streptophyta; Magnoliopsida; Poales; Poaceae.
AUACUACUCCCUCCGUUCUGAAUUACUUGUCAUAAGUAUGGAUGUAUCUAGAUGUAUUUUAGUUUUAGAUACAUCCAUUUCUGCGACGAGUAAUUUAGAACGGAGGGAGUAACAA